CUGGAACUUCUGGGACAGAAGCAGUGAUUUCAGGAAUGUACCUAGAAAUGGACCCAUUUUAUUGGACCAAUCUGGAUUCAUCAGCCUAGGAGAAUAAUGAAGAUAUGAAGACCCACAUUCUCAAGAUGCGAUUGUCUGCUAUUUUCCUACUUGGACUUGUCUUCGCUCCAAAAGAGAAACACUACUUCCAUUUGAGAACACAGUGAGACAAGCAAAGAAUUGAAACGUGAUGGACCAUUGGAACUUUUCUUCUUUUGCUGAUUUUGGAAACCUGCUGGAUAACAAAGACUGGCCCAGUUUACCCCUUCACCUCAGCUGACAGCCAGCCAGCCCUCGGAGCUGUGACACCUACUUGACUGCAUCUGCUUGAGUAAGUCUGGUCAUAAUCAGCAAACUAUCCAUUCAGCUGAAUCCAGCUCAACCUGCUGACCUGAGCCAUCAACCAUGUUGUUUUAAGCUGGUAAAUCUGGGGAGACUUGUUACUAAGAAUUUGGAAUUAAAAAACCUGAUUCUAUGAAGUUUUGGCUGUGUGACUCAGCAUCUGAAAACCUUAGCUCUUCCUCCUUAAAGUUAGGACAAUA
RNAcentral lists this long non-coding RNA (581 nucleotides) under Homo sapiens (human). RNAcentral describes it as "HSALNT0072830". Lineage: Eukaryota; Metazoa; Chordata; Mammalia; Primates; Hominidae. The record is from RNAcentral.